This 253-nucleotide ribosomal RNA is filed under the name uncultured bacterium. RNAcentral's name for it is "partial 16S ribosomal RNA". It matches the Rfam family "Bacterial small subunit ribosomal RNA", at positions 524 to 776 of the family's 1533-position model. The record is from RNAcentral.
GACAGAGGGUGCAAACGUUGUUCGGAAUCACUGGGCGUAAAGCGCACGUAGGCGGAUUUUUAAGUCAGGGGUGAAAUCCUGGAGCUCAACUCCAGAACUGCCUUUGAUACUGGGAAUCUCGAGUCCGGGAGAGGUGAGUGGAACUGCGAGUGUAGAGGUGAAAUUCGUAGAUAUUCGCAAGAACACCAGUGGCGAAGGCGGCUCACUGGCCCGGUACUGACGCUGAGGAGCGAAAGCGUGGGGAGCGAACAGG